Molecule: ribosomal RNA, 305 nt
Filed under: uncultured bacterium
Lineage: Bacteria
Description: partial 16S ribosomal RNA
Rfam family: Bacterial small subunit ribosomal RNA
Source: RNAcentral
ACAGCAGUAGCCACGGUAAUACGAAGGGUGCAAGCGUUAACCGGAAUUACUGGGCGUAAAGCGUGCGCAGGCGGUUAUAUAAGACAGAUGUGAAAUCCCCGGGCUCAACCUGGGACCUGCAUUUGUGACUGUAUAGCUAGAGUACGGUAGAGGGGGAUGGAAUUCCGCGUGUAGCAGUGAAAUGCGUAGAUAUGCGGAGGAACACCGAUGGCGAAGGCAAUCCCCUGGACCUGUACUGACGCUCAUGCACGAAAGCGUGGGGAGCAAACAGGAUUAGAUACCCCAGUAGUCCCUGUCUCUUAUAC